This 478-nucleotide ribosomal RNA is filed under the name uncultured bacterium. Its description in RNAcentral is "partial 16S ribosomal RNA". It matches the Rfam family "Bacterial small subunit ribosomal RNA", at positions 28 to 507 of the family's 1533-position model. The record is from RNAcentral.
GAUGAACGCUGGCGGCGUGCUUAACACAUGCAAGUCGAACGAGAAGUGGAGACGGAAACCUUCGGGCGGAAGACUUUAUUUCGAGUGGCGGACGGGUGAGUAACGCGUGGGUAACCUGCCUCAUACAGGGGGAUAACAGUUGGAAACGACUGUUAAUACCGCAUAAGACCACAGCACCGCAUGGUGCGGGGGUAAAAACUCCGGUGGUAUGAGAUGGACCCGCGUUCGAUUAGCCAGUUGGCGGGGUAACGGCCCACCAAAGCGACGAUCGAUAGCCGAUCUGAGAGGAUGACCGGCCUCAUUGGGACUGAGACACGGCCCAAACUCCUACGGGAGGCAGCAGUGGGGAAUAUUGCACAAUGGGGGAAACCCUGAUGCAGCGACGCCGCGUGAGUGAAGAAGUAUUUCGGUAUGUAAAGCUCUAUCAGCAGGGAAGAAAAUGACGGUACCUGAGGAAGAAGCCCCGGCUAACUACGUG